AGCCCAUAUCACAACCAGGAACACCAUAGAAAGGUGUUUUGGUGUCUGGAAAAGGCGUUUUCCCUGUUUACAAAAAGGUAUGACAUUAAGAAAAACAACAACAAUUUUGAAUGUAAUUGUGGCAACAGCAGUACUACACAACAUUGCGAAAGAUGAACAGCCCCCCCAAGAUCUAAGUGUAGACUUUGAUCUAGAAGAAGCCUCAUUAGAAGAAUUGCACAGUGCAUUUCAAUAUGGCGAG
Molecule: unclassified non-coding RNA, 241 nt
Filed under: Melitaea cinxia (Glanville fritillary)
Lineage: Eukaryota; Metazoa; Arthropoda; Insecta; Lepidoptera; Nymphalidae
Description: misc RNA ENSMCXG00005012825.1
Source: RNAcentral